Molecule: ribosomal RNA, 336 nt
Filed under: uncultured bacterium
Lineage: Bacteria
Description: bacterial SSU rRNA
Rfam family: Bacterial small subunit ribosomal RNA
Source: RNAcentral
AAGUGGAGCAAUCCAUGAGUAAAGUGGCGUACGGGUGAGUAACACGUGGAUCAUCUACCUCUUAGUGGGGAAUAACCCUGGGAAACCGGGGCUAAUACCGCAUAAGCCUGAAAAGGGAAAGCAGCGAUGCGCUGAGAGAGGAGUCCGCGGCCGAUUAGCUAGUUGGUAGGGUAAUGGCCUACCAAGGCAAUGAUCGGUAGCCGGCCUGAGAGGGCACACGGCCACACUGGCACUGAAACACGGGCCAGACUCCUACGGGAGGCAGCAGUGGGGAAUCUUGCACAAUGGAGGAAACUCUGAUGCAGCGACGCCGCGUGAGCGAUGAAGCCCUUCGGG